Long non-coding RNA from Homo sapiens (human), 1662 nucleotides. Ensembl annotates it as MIR4500 host gene. NCBI's taxonomy places the organism in Eukaryota, Metazoa, Chordata, Mammalia, Primates, Hominidae. The record is from Ensembl.
GUAGGAAGAGAGAGAAGUCUUGGACCAUGUGUGUAAUUCGAGCGUGGGACUGUGCAAUUCUCGGAUUGGGAAAGGGAGGAGUGGAAAUAACCCCGGCAGUGCCAGGCUUGCUGGUGGUCAGGAACAGAUGAUUCCAGCCCUGUGCUGAUCGCCUGCCUUCCUCCUGCCAUUCAGAAUGCUGCUGUCUCGUGUACUUACUGUUAAGGAUCCUGGAAAAGGGAGUGGUUCCUCCUAGCUGCAAACAAGGGCGCUACUUUUCUUUUCUCUUUAAUAGAAUUACGUUUUAUAGGUGUGUCUAGGCAACACAAGGGAAUGUGAAAGACUUUCAGAGGGAAUGUUUGUGAAUACAUCUGGUGUGUACUAAAAAGCUGGAAAACCCCUAAGUAAAUGCAAUAUCGAUAGAAAGCGAGUUUCUUGAAGAGUCAUCUGCUAAACUCCACUAGAGUCAUCUCUACAGGUGUGGUUAAGAGAAAAAAAAAUUGCCAUUAAGGAAUCAGCAAAUAGGAUGUCUGAAGUGAGGAUAUAGCACCUAUCUCUGAGAUUAAAGUCAUCUGAUCAAAAAUGAUGCCUCUGAGACUAUAACAAAGGAAUGAAUAAUGAAAUAUAAGAAUGGGGAUUCUGCACUAACUCUAUGGGGAAGAAAACAAUGCUCUGAUAUAGCAAGACCAAACCAUCAUCUUUCUCCUCCUUCUCAACUCAACGUGAAGACAACAAGAAUGAAGACUUUUGAUGAUCCACUUCCACUUAAUGACUAGUACAUAUAUUUUCUCAUCCUUAUGAUUUUCUGAACCCCAUUUUCCCCUAGCUUACUUAUGCUGUAUUGUAAGAAUAUAGCAUAUAAUACACAUGACAUACAAAAUAUGUGUUAACAGAAUGUUUAUGUUGUCAGGUCAGCUGUAGGCUAUUAGAAGUUAAGCUUUGCGGCAGCCUAAGUUAUCCAUGAAUUUUUGACUUCAUGGAGGUUGAUACCCUUACCUCCAACAUUGUUCAAGUAUCAACUGUAUGCAAUACAUAUACCCCCCUCACCCUUCCAAAACUCACAUUCUGCAAAAUUGGCAGGGUGUAUGGGCAGGCUGGAAACUUAUACUGGAUUUCUAUGUUGCAAUCCUGAGGCAGUUUCUUUUUUUUCCAGGAAACCUCAAAUGUUUUUGCUCGUAACUUCUUCAUCUUAUUGGAACAGGCCCACUCAAAUUAUUGAAGUUAAUUCAAAUUUUUGAAAAGUUUAAAUUUUAUUUAUGACUUAUUUUAAAAAUUGUUUGAUAACUAAAAAAAGUAUUUGUGGUGUAAAACAUGAUGUUUUGAAGUAUAUAUACAAUAUGGGAUGGUUAAAUAUAGCUAAAUAAUAAAUGCUUUAUCUCACAUAGUUAUUAUUUUCACCAUAAGAACAUAUAACAUCCACCCUCUUUACAUUUUCAAGAAUACAAUAUAUUAACUUUUAUUAUAGUCACCUUGCUGUACAACAGACUCCUUGAAAUUGAUUUUUCCCGUCUAACUAUAUUUACAUAUACUUUGGCCAAUGUCUCCCCAAAUCCCAAAUCCUCCUAACCACCCCAGUUUCUAGUAAUCACCAUUUUGCUUUUUACCUCUAUGUGAUUAAUGAUUAAUGAUUCUAGAUGCCAUAUUAGUCAGAGUUCUCCAGAGGGACAGAACUCAUAGGAUAUA